This 474-nucleotide ribosomal RNA is filed under the name uncultured bacterium. RNAcentral describes it as "bacterial SSU rRNA". It matches the Rfam family "Bacterial small subunit ribosomal RNA", at positions 335 to 799 of the family's 1533-position model. The record is from RNAcentral.
ACUCCUACGGGAGGCAGCAGUGGGGAAUAUUGGACAAUGGGCGAAAGCCUGAUCCAGCCAUGCCGCGUGUGUGAAGAAGGUCUUCGGAUUGUAAAGCACUUUAAGUUGGGAGGAAGGGCAGUAAGUUAAUACCUUGCUGUUUUGACGUUACCAACAGAAUAAGCACCGGCUAACUUCGUGCCAGCAGCCGCGGUAAUACGAAGGGUGCAAGCGUUAAUCGGAAUUACUGGGCGUAAAGCGCGCGUAGGUGGUUCAGCAAGUUGGAUGUGAAAUCCCCCGGGCUCAACCUGGGGAACUGCAUCCAAAACUACUGAGCUAGAGUACGGUAGAGGUGUGGAAUUUCCUGUGUAGCGGUGAAAUGCGUAGAUAUAGGAAGGAACACCAGUGGCGAAGGCGACCACCUGGACUGAUACUGACACUGAGGUGCGAAAGCGUGGGAGCAAACAGGAUUAGAUACCCCGUGGUAGGAUAGCG